GUGAAACCUGUUGAAGAAUAGUAUUCAUUCUUCCAAAGAAUGCCAAGUGCCACUCAGAGGAAGUAAGGGGGAGUCAUGGGACAUGUUAAGGCAAGUGCUGAAUAUGGGGACCACCUACAGAGCAUCUUAACAGACCUUUCUCCCUCAGAGGGCCUAACCCAACCCCACUGCCCUUUCUCUUCCAGAUUUCCAUGUACUAACACCAAGAAGUGGUCAAGAAGCAUACCGCACUGCUCCUGGAGUCAGAGGAUCUUGAUCACAUUUUCUCCGUGUGCAGCUGUAAAGAAAUCUGUAAUUCCCGAAAAUACUCUGAUUCGGACGUCACUUUUUACCCACAAGUGACUGUUUCUAACUCUGAAAACGCCCACCUGCUUAAGUAAGCAACCAGCUGUGGAGAGAAAUCGAGUCUCUAGUCAACCGAGUGAAGUCCUAUCCUUUAAGGUAUUCAGGGUUUUCAGGGACCUUGGCUUUGCUUUUGUCUUACUGUGUUCCCUUGCCCAUGUUUCUUCCCUUCUCAGUUUUAAAAGUCCGUGAAAGUGUGAAUUGUUUUCAUUCUGUGUGCCGAAGCUUCAUUGGAUCCCAGAAUUUUGCUGGGUUUCCUGUUUGGUUUUCCCGAGUCCUGCUUUGGCUCUUAGGCCAAGGUCCGCCCAGCUGCACGACCGCUCCGUAACACGUGAGGGCGCUGUGCGGCUGCAGUUUCCUUUUGAGCUGCUCUGGGCCUGGGGAAGGCUACUCUUUCAGGCACUUACAGGUAACAUUCAGCUGUCAGGACCAUGGGAAGCAAGGGCUGACUUCCGCAGUAGCCAUGUUGUGAUAGCUAACUUUCGCGGUAGCCAUGUUGUGAUAGCCCUGGGGGCCUAAAACCAGAGGGGGGACCCUAGGAAUAGAAGAGGCAUAUGGGGGUACUUUAACAGUGAAGGUGUGGGAAGCCUGGUUGUCUGUGGAUCUGAGGGUGGCUGGUAGGCUUGAGUGGCUCCACAAGAGGGUCAGAUGUUCUGGGAAGCUGAGGGAGGGCUAGACCCGGAGAGCAGCCACGCCUCGUGCUGUGACAGACUGGGAUGUAAAAGUCUUAAAGGCCAAUGGCUGGUUCCAAAGUCAAGUUGUCAAACGUGAUGAUGGCUAAUGCACUCUUUUCACAGGGGUGACUAGUCUGGAAAACCAGGAAGUCCUGAGCAACAGAGCCUGUCCUUGUGAGACUAAACGAUUGGGGGCUGCUGGGAACUUCCAGGUCCUAGGAUACUGGGGAGGGGUCCUGUUCCCUGGGUACCAUCUCUCCAGUGAGCAUUCAGUGGUAGAUGCCAGGGGAAUAGAAGCUACAAUUGGUGUGAAACUGUUUUGGGGCUGAGCAAUUACCCCCUAAAGGGACAUGGGCACAACAUUCAUGUUUGUGGGAAACAAAAUGGCAUGGCUAUUCCUCAAACCACAAUAAUUUACCUUAGGAGCCUG
Molecule: long non-coding RNA, 1446 nt
Filed under: Mustela putorius furo (domestic ferret)
Lineage: Eukaryota; Metazoa; Chordata; Mammalia; Carnivora; Mustelidae
Description: lncRNA (ENSMPUG00000030038.1)
Source: RNAcentral